This 467-nucleotide ribosomal RNA is filed under the name uncultured bacterium. RNAcentral describes it as "partial 16S ribosomal RNA". It matches the Rfam family "Bacterial small subunit ribosomal RNA", at positions 28 to 523 of the family's 1533-position model. The record is from RNAcentral.
GAUGAAUGCUGGCGGCGUGCCUAACACAUGCAAGUCGAGCGGCAGCGCGAGUAGUUUACUACUUGGCGGCGAGCGGCGGACGGCUGAGUAACGCGUGGGAACGUGCCCCACAGUGAGGGAUAACGCACCGAAAGGUGUGCUAAUACCGCAUAUGGUCUUCGGAUUAAAGAAUUUAUUCGCUUUGGGAGCGGCCCGCGUCGGAUUAGGUAGUUGGUAGGGUAAUGGCCUACCAAGCCGACGAUCCGUAGCUGGUCUGAGAGGAUGAUCAGCCAGACUGGAACUGAGACACGGUCCAGACUCCUACGGGAGGCAGCAGUGAGGAAUCUUCCACAAUGGGCGAAAGCCUGAUGGAGCAACGCCGCGUGCAGGAUGAAGGCCUUCGGGUUGUAAACUGCUUUUAUAAGUGAAGAAUAUGACGGUAACUUAUGAAUAAGCACCGGCUAACUACGUGCCAGCAGCCGCCGUAA